UACGGAGGGGGCAAGCGUUAUUCGGAUUUACUGGGCGUAAAGGGUGCGUAGGCGGCUUGGCAAGUCUGGUGUGAAAUCUUUACCGCUCAACGGAAAGAGGCCACUGGAAACUGCUAGGCUUGAGCAUGGUAGAGGUUACUGGAAUUCCCGGUGUAGCGGUGGAAUGUGUAGAUAUCGGGAAGAACAUCAGUGGCGAAGGCGAGUAACUGGGCCAUUGCUGACGCUGAGGCACGAAAGCGUGGGUAGCAAACAGG
This 254-nucleotide unclassified non-coding RNA is filed under the name uncultured bacterium. RNAcentral describes it as "contains 16S-23S intergenic spacer region". It matches the Rfam family "Bacterial small subunit ribosomal RNA", at positions 524 to 776 of the family's 1533-position model. The record is from RNAcentral.